GAUGAACGCUAGCGGCAGGCUUAACACAUGCAAGUCGAGGGGUAGCAUAGAUUGUAGCAAUACAAUUGGUGGCGACCGGCGCACGGGUGCGUAACGCGUAUGCAACCUACCCGUCACAGGGGGAUAAUCCGGAGAAAUCUGGUCUAAUACCCCAUAACAUAUGGAUCGGCAUCGGUUCAUGUUGAAAUUUUCGGAGGUGACGGAUGGGCAUGCGUAGCAUUAGCUUGUUGGUGAGGUAUCGGCUCACCAAGGCGACGAUGCUUAGGGGGACUGAGAGGUGGUGGCCCGACAGUGGGACGGGGACACGGGGGAGAGACCUACGGGAGGCAGUACUGAGGAAUGUGGGGGAGUGGACGAAAGCCUCAGCCGUCCAUGCGGCGUGCAGGAUGACGGCUGUAUGGGUUUCAAACUGAUGUUUUACGAGGGUAAGGUGAGUUACGUUGGACCCUAUGACAGUAUAGUACGAAUAAGGACCGGCCAACUCCGUGCCAGCCGCCGCCGUAA
RNAcentral lists this ribosomal RNA (504 nucleotides) under uncultured bacterium. RNAcentral describes it as "partial 16S ribosomal RNA". It matches the Rfam family "Bacterial small subunit ribosomal RNA", at positions 28 to 523 of the family's 1533-position model. The record is from RNAcentral.